AGUGAACGCUGGCGGUAGGCCUAACACAUGCAAGUCGAACGGCAGCACAGUAAGAGCCUGCUCUUACGGGUGGCGAGUGGCGGACGGGUGAGGAAUACAUCGGAAUCUACUUUUUCGUGGGGGAUAACGUAGGGAAACUUACGCUAAUACCGCAUACGACCUACGGGUGAAAGCAGGGGAUCUUCGGACCUUGCGCGAUUGAAUGAGCCGAUGUCGGAUUAGCUAGUUGGCGGGGUAAAGGCCCACCAAGGCGACGAUCCGUAGCUGGUCUGAGAGGAUGAUCAGCCACACUGGAACUGAGACACGGUCCAGACUCCUACGGGAGGCAGCAGUGGGGAAUAUUGGACAAUGGGCGCAAGCCUGAUCCAGCCAUACCGCGUGGGUGAAGAAGGCCUUCGGGUUGUAAAGCCCUUUUGUUGGGAAAGAAAAGCAGCAGAUUAAUACCCCGCUGUUCUGACGGUACCCAAAGAAUAAGCACCGGCUAACUUCGUG
This 492-nucleotide ribosomal RNA is filed under the name uncultured bacterium. RNAcentral's name for it is "partial 16S ribosomal RNA". It matches the Rfam family "Bacterial small subunit ribosomal RNA", at positions 29 to 507 of the family's 1533-position model. The record is from RNAcentral.